This 614-nucleotide ribosomal RNA is filed under the name Melampyrum arvense. RNAcentral describes it as "eukaryotic LSU rRNA". The stretch from base 219 to 374 matches the Rfam family "5.8S ribosomal RNA". Lineage: Eukaryota; Viridiplantae; Streptophyta; Magnoliopsida; Lamiales; Orobanchaceae. The record is from RNAcentral.
UUUCCGUAGGUGAACCUGCGGAAGGAUCAUUGUCGAAACCUGCAAAAGCAGACCGCGAACACGUAAAACCAUCGGGAUUUCGAUCCCCUUCCCGUGCGCGUUAGCCUCACGGGCUAACGAACCCCGGCGCGGCAUGCGCCAAGGAAUACUCAUAGAAACGUCCUCCCUCGUCGCCCCGUUCUCGGUGCGCCGCGGGGGGCGUCUCUCAAAGUCUAAACGACUCUCGGCAACGGAUAUCUCGGCUCUCGCAUCGAUGAAGAACGUAGCGAAAUGCGAUACUUGGUGUGAAUUGCAGAAUCCCGUGAACCAUCGAGUCUUUGAACGCAAGUUGCGCCCGAAGCCUUUUGGCUGAGGGCACGUCUGCCUGGGCGUCACGCAUCGCGUCGCAUCCCAACUCUCGCCCCGGAAGUUGGUCCCCCGUGCGCACAAGCGCGCGGUCGGCCUAAAUGCGAACCCGCGCCGACUCGCGUCGCGACCAGUGGUGGUUGAACACUCAACUCUCGUGCUGUCGUGGCGAAGCUCGCGCGCCGGGAAACGUCGCUGACCCAAAGGCUGGAGGUUCUUCGGCUUUCGACCGCGACCCCAGGUCAGGCGGGAUUACCCGCUGAGUUUAA